Xyrauchen texanus (razorback sucker) is the source of this 656-nucleotide long non-coding RNA. RefSeq lists it as uncharacterized. The record is from RefSeq and is a predicted model, not a curated record. NCBI's taxonomy places the organism in Eukaryota, Metazoa, Chordata, Actinopteri, Cypriniformes, Catostomidae. The transcript has 3 exons.
UUGCUGGUUCGAUCACCACAGUCACCACCAUUGUGUCCUUGAGUAAGGCACUUAACUCCAGGUUGCUCCGGGGGGAUUGUCCCUGUAAUAAGUGCUCUGUAUAAUACAUUGGUACUCAGAAGGUUGCUGGUUUGAUCCCCACAGUCACCACCAUUGUGUCCUUGAGUAAGACACUUAACUCCAGGUUGCUCCGGGGGGAUUGUCCCUGUAAUAAGUGCUCUGUAUAAUACAUUGGUACUCAGAAGGUUGCUGGUUCGAUCCCCACAGUCACCACCAUUGUGUCCUUGAGUAAGACACUUAACUCCAUGUUGCUCCGGGGGGAUUGUCCCUGUAAUAAGUGCUCUGUAUAAUACAUUGGUACUCAGAAGGUUGCUGGUUUGAUCCCCACAGUCACCACCAUUGUGUCCUUGAGUAAGACACUUAACUCCAGGUUGCUCCGGGGGGAUUGUCCCUGUAAUAAGUGCUCUGUAUAAUACAUUGGUACUCAGAAGGUUGCUGGUUUGAUCCCCACAGUCACCACCAUUGUGUCCUUGAGUAAGGCACUUAACUCCAGGUUGCUCCGGGGGGGAUUGUCCCUGUAAUAAGUGCUCUGUAUAAUACAUUGGUACUCAGAAGGUUGCUGGUUGGAUCCCCACAGUCACCACCAUUGUGUCCUU